RNAcentral lists this ribosomal RNA (468 nucleotides) under uncultured bacterium. RNAcentral's name for it is "partial 16S ribosomal RNA". It matches the Rfam family "Bacterial small subunit ribosomal RNA", at positions 28 to 507 of the family's 1533-position model. The record is from RNAcentral.
GAUGAACGCUGGCGGCGUGCUUAACACAUGCAAGUCGAACGGAAAGGCCCAAGCUUGCUUGGGUCCUCGAGUGGCGAACGGGUGAGUAACACGUGGGUGAUCUGCCCUGCACUUCGGGAUAAGCCUGGGAAACUGGGUCUAAUACCGGAUAGGACGUUGGUUUGGAUGCCAUUGUGGAAAGUUUUUUCGGUGUGGGAUGAGCUCGCGGCCUAUAAGCUUGUUGGUGGGGUAAUGGCCUACAAAGGCGUCGACGGGUAGCCGGCCUGAGAGGGUGUACGGCCACAUUGGGAAUGAGAGACGGCCCAGAGUCCUACGGGAGGCAGCAGUGGGGAAUAUGGAACAAUGGGAGCAGGCCUGAUGCAGCGACGCCGCGUGGGGGAUGACGGCCUUCGGGUUGUAAACUCCUCUCGCUAGGGACGAAGCUUUUUUGUGACGGUACCUGGAGAAGAAGCACCGGCUAACUACGUG